This 405-nucleotide ribosomal RNA is filed under the name uncultured Bdellovibrio sp. RNAcentral's name for it is "bacterial SSU rRNA". It matches the Rfam family "Bacterial small subunit ribosomal RNA", at positions 355 to 774 of the family's 1533-position model. The record is from RNAcentral. Lineage: Bacteria; Pseudomonadati; Bdellovibrionota; Bdellovibrionia; Bdellovibrionales; Pseudobdellovibrionaceae.
UGGGGAAUAUUGCACAAUGGGGGAAACCCUGAUGCAGCGACGCCGCGUGAGUGAUGAAGGCCUUCGGGUCGUAAAGCUCUGUCGUAUGGGAAUAACAUAAUGAAUGUACCAUGCAAGAAAGGAUCGGCUAACUUCGUGCCAGCAGCCGCGGUAAGACGAGGGAUCCUAGCGUUGUUCGGAAUCAUUGGGCGUAAAGCGGGUGUAGGCGGGCUUCUAAGUCAGGUGUGAAAUCCCAGGGCUCAACCCUGGAAGUGCACUUGAUACUGGAAGUCUUGAAUGUGGUAGAGGCUAUUAGAAUUCUUGGUGUAGUGGUGAAAUACGUAGAUAUCAAGAGGAAUACCGGAGGCGAAGGCGGAUAGCUGGGCCAACAUUGACGCUGAGACCCGAAAGCGUGGGGAUCAAACA